This 39596-nucleotide long non-coding RNA is filed under the name Solanum tuberosum (potato). Its description in RNAcentral is "long non-coding RNA (STUB_LNC011107)". The stretch from base 21444 to 21516 matches the Rfam family "tRNA". Lineage: Eukaryota; Viridiplantae; Streptophyta; Magnoliopsida; Solanales; Solanaceae. The record is from RNAcentral.
UUUCUGCCACCUCUUCUAUGCUUUUUCCCUCUUCUUCAUUCAAAAACCCCUCUACAGCCCAUAACUCAACAAGUUCACUUACAUAAAUCUGUUCAUCCUCUGCGAAAAUUGCAAAAUACAGAAAACAUGGUUUUAGGUGAGAAGGCAAGUGAUGGUAACUCAAAGCCAACACUCUCAUGCAUUUUGCUUCAAGAUCUGUGCUUACCACCGAACUUACAUUCUCCGCAACAUUUUGCCACUCAUCCAAUGUUUUACUGAUUUUGGAGAGAAGUCCAGCAAUCACAGUAAUUGCUAGAGGUAACCCUCCACAUUUUAAUGUCAAUUUGUUUCCCAAUAUUUUCAAAUUCAGGAGAAUAAGAACCUUCUUUUUCAAAGAUCUUUUGUGUAGUAAAUUCCAACUUUCGUCAAAAUUCAUGAGGCGCAUAUGAUGAGGAGGCUUACCUGAACUAGCAUAUUCAGCCACUUCCACAUUCCGAGUAGUCAGGAGUAUUCUGCUUCCAUUAUUACAGUCUGGGAAACAUUGUUUUAUAUCAUCCCAAGCUUCUGUAGUCCAUAUGUCAUCAAUGACUACCAAGUAUCUCCUGCCUUUCAGAUUCUUUUGCAGUCGGUCCGCUAGCUGAUCAUCAGGUUCAUUACUUAUCGAAGAAAGAAGGCCUAGGAUUACAUUUCUCACACAAUACUCUUGUGAAACAGUUGCUUUUGCACGAAUAUCAAAUCGAGACAUAAUGUAAGGAUCACUAUAGAGUUUUGUAGCCAAAGUUGUUUUCCCGAUACCUCCCAUCCCUACGAUUGAGACAACUUCUAGUUCCCUUCCUCCUCUAGCAAGUUGAUCCAGCAUCAUCUCAAAUUCAUUUUCACGGCCAACCAUUAUAUUCUCGGGCUGCUCAACAUCAUGUUCAGGUAAACUGACAAGUGAGCUAGUUUGUGGUUUUAGAUCUUUCAUGCUGUCCGAUGCUGCCAUCCACUGUUUCACGGUGGAAUCAAUGCAUUCUAGUGCUUGUUCCAAGACGAAAAAAAUCUCCCACAUAGCCCUGCUUCUUUCCUCCAAAUUCUGUGCUAAAAAAACAUUUCUUGAUUCCGAGUCAACCAUAUCUUCUGUUGUGUAUGCUACCUCUACGAUUUCAACUUCCAAGAUUGUUAACUCCUCAUGAUCGCCCGUUAUAUUGCAGGAAUUCUCCAGAAUAGUUCUUAAAGAUUCGAGCUUUUCAUAAAACGGUUGCAAAUCACAUCCAGUAAGUUCCAUUGAUUGAUGUAUGGUUCUCAUAAGGGAAGUAACAGCAGCAUAAGCCAUAUAUCCAAAAAAUAGAAAUAUCUCUCAGUAUGAAAAUGGACAAAUUGCCACAAGUCAUGUAAUUUUUCAGUUUUUAAGAAAACAGAAAAUGCAAACUUCUUUCUUUUACUAGGCUAUUUCCAUCACAUUUCCAGCUAGGUCCACCAACCUUAUCAUCAUGUAGACAAAAGCAGAGACCAAAGUUUAAAAAAAGAAAAAGAAAAAAAGACAGGAUUCUAACUGGAAAAAGUUGAAAAAAUUGUGACCAUUCAUUAUUAUACCUUACACUUAUCUAUUCAUGAAUAUAAGUAGGGAAAAGGGCCUCAUUUACCCUGAACUUUAUGAUUUGGAGCUGAUAUACCCUUCGUUUAAAAAAUGGCCCAUAUAUGCCCCUGCCGUUAUAGAAAUGGCUCAUAUAUGCCCUUUUACUUAACAGACCAAUAUUUAAUAAAUUAAAAAUUCAUUUUUUUAUGCUUUAAUUUGAGAAAAUGCCACGUGGCUCUUAAAAUACCCCACCCAAUAACUUUUCAGCAACCCGACCCAAUGGAAACAAGAAAACCCCAUCCACUUAAAUAAACCUAGCCCAUUUCAUUCUAUGGUCUCCACUCUCCACGCUUGACAUGAAAAAAAAUCAAAAACUUGUUAGGGUUUCAGUGAGCUCUAAACUGGUGUCAAUCAAUCUCAAUAAUGUUCAAAAUCUUAGGUAAGUUUCGAUUAUUUUCUUCCCUUACUUUUAAGGAUCUUUGGUGUUAAAAAUAUAGGAUAAUAUGUGAGAAAAGUGUAACUGAGUUUACCUAUGUGCUUUUUUCCCUUGACAUUCUGUCCAUGGAAGGUUUAUUUUCUUACUUUAAUACAUGAGUUUAUCUCUUUGUAUGCAGAGAUGGAAUCUUUGUUGGUCCCCAAAUAGUUAUUGUCUCUUUAGUAUUUUAAAAUUCAUUUUUCAAUUGGUUGGUGUUAAAUGCUAAGGUGGUCCCUUAUGUCUAAUUUAUUUGCUUGUUGCAGGUGUCAUUUUGAAGGAUGAUUAAAGAAGUGGAUAUUGUUUUCAACUAUGGGGGCAAUAGGGUAAUUUCCCCAAAGCUGGGAUACAAUAUAAAAUUUCAGCACACCUGGUAUUAUAAUACUUGUUUAGUUUGUUAUGAUGAUUUGUGUGAAGCUUUUACUUCCAAAUUUGGAUUUAAGGAAGUUCAACAAUUGUUGGUCACUGGUCCAUCUGGUACUUAUUAUGUAAUUGAAGAUAAUGAUGGAAUUAAGACUCUUCAAUACUUAUUUUCAGAAGAUUUCAAGGUAAUAGAUUUUUAUGUUGUAGAUGCUCAUGAAUUGAGAGUUUCUGCCACAAAUAUCAUAUAUCAUACUGAAUCAUAUUUUGUGGAUGUUGAAGCUGCUACUGAUUGUGAUUAUAGUGAUGUGGAGGAUGAUACUCUUUAUGAAAUGGGCAACAGUUGUGAAAUUGUUGAAUAUAAUGUUGAAGUGCUUCAACGUUAUGAACAUGAAAAAGAGAGAGUUGUGAGUGAUGGACUUGAAAAGUUUAAGGAAUUAGAAAUGGGUAUGACCUUUAAGACUAUUGAAGAACCUAGGCAGGUUGUUAGCUUUUAUGCUAUGGCUAACAAAAGAAGUUGAAAACAAAAAAAAGUGAUACAAAAAGAAUUAGGUAUGAGUGUUAUGAUGGUUGUCCCUUUUACUCUUCUCAUAUCUAAGGAUGGAAAAUCAGCAACAUUUAAGGUUAAAACAUUGAUGCCUAAGCAUACUUGUGGUGAUUCUUUUGUUAAUCCAUUGGAAACUUAUCAUACCUUGGCUGUUUAUUUUAAGGAUGAAGUUCUAAACAAUCCAAAAUACCCUAUCAAAGACAUGAGAGGAAUUCUUGAAAAAAAAUUCAAGUUGAAUGUCUUAAGAUCCAAACUAAAAAGAGCCAAAACAAUGGCUCUUGAUAAGUUGGAAGGCAGUUUCAAAGAUGACUACAAUAGGCUUGAAGCUUAUGGUCAAGAACUUAGACAAUCAAAACCAGGAUCUGAUGUGGUAAUUAAUAUCUCUAAAGAUGCACUUGAACAAGGCAUAAGAAGGUUUUUGAGAAUGUACAUUUGCUUCAAGGCUUUGAAGGAUGGAUGGAAAAGUUUGAGACCUAUAAUUGGUUUAGAUGGAACAUUUCUCAAAGGAAAAUGCAAGGGGCAACUAUUAGUAGUUGUUGGGCAAGACUCAAUGAAUCAUUUUUACCCAAUAGCUUGGGCAGUGGUGGAAAAGGAAAACACAGGAACAUGGACAUGGUUUAUUCAGUUGUUGAGGAUUUCGUUGGAGUUGAAAAAUGGUGAAAUUGUGACAUUUAUGUCUGAUAUGCAAAAGGUAGCUUUAAAUUUAUUUUUUUCUUAUUGCCUUUUCUUUAUCUUUUUUCUUACUGUCAUUUUUUUCUUUUCGAUUUUUAGGGCCUGUUCGAUGUUGUAGCUAAUGUUGUUCCAGAAGCACACCAUAGGCUUUGUGUGAGGCAUAUAGAAUCUAACUGGUGCAAGAAAUGGCGGAGUGGUGAAGAGAAAAAAUUGAUGUGGUGGUGUGCAUGGAGUACCUAUGAAGAAGAAUUCAAAGACACUUUGAAGGUGUUAGGAAAGGUGGAUGAAGAUUCAGCUAGUGAUCUUCUUCAUUUUCCUGUAAUUAAAUGGUGUAGGGCAUAUUUUGAUACUCAAUGUAAGAAUCUAAUGGUAGACAAUAACUUCACCGAGUCUUUUAACAGUUGGAUACUUGAAGCUAGAAAAAACCAAUCAUUAAAAUGUUGGAGGAAAUUAGAGUGAAGGUGAUGAAUAUGUUGGUGAAAAAUGAAAAAAUGGGCAGAAAAUGGCAAAAUGAUAUCAGUCCAACGGUUAUGAAAUUGUACAAUGACUAUCGAUUAAUGGCUACCAAUGGUACAGUUGAGUUCAAUGGAGAUUAUGGUUAUGAAGUGAAAGAUGGAGACACGGACACACAUACAGUGAAUUUGGAGUUGAAGAAAUGCAUUUGUAGAUUAUGGGACUUGGGUGGAAUACCGUGUCACCAUACCAUCAAGGCAAUUUUGCAUAAAAAAACUGAACCAUUGGAAGAGGUUCAUUACUGCUAUAAAAAGAGGCUUAUUUGUUAACAUACAAGCACAAGUUGCAACCAGUUAGGGGUUCUCAAUUCUGGAAAAUCGACCAUGCUCAAGCAAUGGAACCUCCGAAAAUGGUAAAACUUGUUGGCAGACCCAAGAUGAAAAGAAAUAAAGAAACUGAUGAGGCAAGUUUGAGAAAGGGGGCAUGGAAGCAGUCAAGAAAAGGAACUCUAAUGAGAUGCAACAAAUGUGGUGAUUUCAAUCACAAUGCUAAGGGAUGUUAUAAGGUAAUCUCUCUUAAUAUUUUCUUUUAGUUAAAAGGUGUUCAUUUUUGUCAAUCACAACAAUUUUUUUGGGUUGAAGGACCAUGAAGACGGUGAAAGUUAGCAUGAAAGAAAUAAGAAAGCAAGCAAUCAAAAGUCGAGGAGUUGAGCAAGAAAAAACUCUAUUGUAGAGUAUGAGACAGAAGCUUCACCCCAACAAUUUCAGACAAAACAGUCGACUGCCUAUGGUCCUAAGAUCGGGAAUGAUGAAGAUCCAGCAUUGCGACCAAUGGUAAUUUUUGAGACAGAAACAAGGAUGGAAAAGAGGUCUCGAAUAUUUGAAGGAAUAGGAAGCAGGAAGAUUGUUUUUUAAGGGGAUGCAAGAGGAAUCUCGACCCCUUCGGAUCUACCAUAUUCACCAAAGAAGACUACUUGAAAGGGCAAGAAAGCAGUCACAAUUGAUCAGUUACAAGCUGAAGUAAAGAAGAAAAGAGUGAAACAAAUGGCAAUGAAGGGCAAAUGGCCCGUGGAUACUAAUGAUGAUCUAGUUUAGAAGUCGUUGUGUGGUUGAUCAUUUUUUGACAUUAGGUGGUUAUUUUGGAUAGUAUUAUAUGAUGUAAAUCCAAACAAUUUCUUUUGUUGCUAACCAUAUAAUAGAUAUUUGUGGUUGGUUUAACCACCAGAAGGUUAAUCUUCUUUUGCUGGUAACUUGUGUUAAGAUAAUUUUAUAAAAAUUGAGAAUUAUAUUCUACUGCAUCUGGUGUAAUUAUUGUUGAUUGUAUUUUGUGUGAGAGAGUAAAUUUAUGUGCUUUGAUUGGUAGCGUUGUUUAAAUUACGACUAAAAUUAGCAUUGUUCACGAUCUUCUUUGAACUAGUAGAUAGCUCACAGAUGAUUCAACGUGGAAUGUCAAGGAGUCAUUGAUGAUUCUCUAUCAUUUUACCUCGAGCUUUUGAUUCUCUUUCAUUACUAAAUAAUACAAAAGUUGACAAAAUCACUACACAAGACCAAAUAAGGUGAAUCAAAAGUUGUCAUAAAUCAAUACAAUGAACCAAAAGUUAAUUACACAUAAGUCACAAAACUGCAAAUGAGAUGAAAAAGUUUAGUCGCAUAAUAUGGCCUUGGAAUCUAUCAUUUAAAUUCCCAGAAAAGAUAUGAUCCUACAAAGUACUACUAUAUUUCCAAAUUUUACAAACUUUUUGCCUCAGUGAGUGAAGAAAAGAACCCAACUAAGCAACUGAAUGUAAAAUAACUUCAAACUUUUCUCUCGAAUUUUAAGAUUUCAUAAACGCAAUGACUCCGUCCACAGUUCGUUCGCGAACACUCUGAAUAUGUGGUGUGACGGCCAAUAAAACUUCAGCAGACUCUUGAUUUUCACUUGUAGCUGCAAGAUGUAUUAGCAUGUAAUUAUCACUGACAGUAUCCCCUGCCUUUACCACACAACGAAAGAAUGAACUGCCGCAACUGCUAGCAGAGGACACAUAUUAUCAUCUCCUAUUUGAGCAUCAAAAUUAGCAUGGUGUUUUAGCAAAACCGUAAUAGCAUCUUCCUGGCUGCGGUCUACAACGCAUAUUAAUGGUGUUCCAACAUCAACAUCACUUCGCAAAUCAACGUCUACACCUAUCGGUAGAAACAAUUUAACCAAUUCAAUAUGCCCAUUUCCUGCAUCAUUAAAUGGACAAAAUAAAACACAUAAGAAUAUCACUUCAAGCAAAGAAUAUCAAGAACAAAUUUACCCUAUAACUCUAACACCAAAGGUCCUUAAAAGAAAAGGGAAGAAAGUAAUCGAAACUUACAUAAGAUUUUGAACAAUAUUGAGACUGAUUGACGCCAAUUUAGAGCUCACCGAAACCUACCAACAUUUUGAUUUUUUUUCUUGUUGAGCGUGGAGAGUGGAGACCAUAGAAUUAAAUGGGUUAAAGUUUAUUUAAGUGGGUGGGGUUUUCUUGUUUUCAAUUGGGUCGGGUUGGUGAAAAGUUAUUGGGUGGGGUAUUUUAAGAGCGAUGUGGCAUUUUCUCAAAUUAAAGCAUAAAAAAAUGAAAUUUAAUUUAUUAAAUAUUGGUCUGUUAAAUAAAAGGGCAUAUAUGGGCCAUUUCUAUAACGGCAGGGACAUAUAUGAGCCAUUUUUUAAACGGAGGGUAUAUCAGCUCCAAAUCAUAAAGUUGAGGGGUAAAUCAGGCCCUUUUCCCAUAUAAGUAUGUUUCUUACAUACAAGAGAUUGAUGAUUUUAAUUCCAUUGAAAGCUACUUAGUAGAAUUUUCCAAAUCAAAGAGAGAGAAAUAUUAAGAUCCAAGUAGGAAUUUCUCUAUUCCUAGUUCGAUUCAAUUAACCAAGCAUAAAUAUCUCUUAAUAUACAAGAGAAGUUUAGACUCUAAAAGUCAAAUCAACAAAAUAUUGAUGGGCUAACACAUGAAAAACUACUGAGAAAAUCGCCUAAUUCCUGUAAAUUGUCCCUUAAAUACCCAAAAUGGACUCUAAAAAUUGUUAGAAUGUACGUAUUGCUCCCCCAACUCCCUACUGAGGGUUUUGUAAAGAUUUCGAUUAGAAAUCGUCCAUAAGUCAUAUCACUAAUAUAUUAAUGGUUAACACACACGACAAACUGAGAAAAUUAUCUAAUUUCUUUAAAUUGGCCCCUAAAUGCCUAAAAUGGACUCUAAAAGUUGUGAGACUGUACAUACUGCUCCCCCGACUCCCUACAGAGGGUUUCGUAAAUGUGUAGCAAAGAAAUCGUCUGAAAGUCAUAUCACUGAAAUAUUAAUGGGCUAACACAUACAAAACACUGAGAAAGUCGCCUAAUUCCUGUAAAUUGGAAUUCUAAAAUUGUGAGACUAUACGUAUUGCUCCAUUAACUCUCUAUGGAGGGUUCCGUAAAGAUUUCACAAAGAAAUUAUUCGAAAGACUUAUCACCAAAAUAUUCAUGGGCUAAUACAGACGAAUUGAGAAGAUCACCUAUUUCCUAUAAAUUAGCCGUGGGAUACCUAAAAUGGACUCUAAAAAUUGUGAGACUAACUCCCUACGAAGGGUUCCAUAUAAGUUUCGCAAAAGAAAUCAUUCAGAAAUCAUAUCACCAAAAUAUUUAUGGAUUAACACACACGAAAAAUUGAAAAAAUCGCCUAAUUCUUUUAAAUUGGCCCCUUAAUCCCUUUACGAGAUUAAUUAGAGAUGCGCGAGCGCGCGCACACACACACAUACACACACAUAUAUAUAUAUAAAGAAGAGAAGCUAGUUGUAGGGUUUGAUUGCCAUAAAAUACUUAGACAAUGUGGGUGACGCACAUUGUGAAUCUCAUGAAUUGACUCGUGGAUCAUUGUGAUAUUGGCCCAUGAAACUUAGUCUUAGGGAAAGAUUGUUGGGUGUGAGAUUGAAUUUCCACAUUUGAGAAGCUAUAUAUAAGGUGUAGGAUCUCUUAAGGGAAAAUUUCAUGUAUGGAAAACGUAUUUAAUGAAAUAACGCUCUAUAGGUAUAGUUUAGUAAUUACAUUCAAUGGGUAGUUUAGUUUGCUAUGAAGCAUUAAUUUUGUAUAUAAUGUUUUUUUUAAAAAUAAUUUAUACAAUAUUUUUUUUAAUAAAUGGAUACAUGAGCGCUAAAUACAGUAACAAAAAAUUUACAUAAUCCCAUGAUUCAAGCUAAUCGUUCAAAAUCAAAUAUUUUUCCAAAAAAGAGUUCUAUAGCAAUAGAAACACCAUAACAGCUGGUUUCCUCAAACGACUGAAGCAUACGAUUAAUCAAUAUUCUUGUAUAUUCAACACCAGGUAAGCGUUUCUUUCAAGGAAACUUCAUGUUUUGAACGGCAAGAAAGUAUACAAUUGAUUUGUAUAGUAUAUAAUUGAAAUUUUGGAAAACGGAUUAUUUUUGUUUUGUUCAUUCUAAUGGUUCGCAAUAAUUUAAUUUUGUUUAUACAAUAUUAGAUAAAUUUUAUAUUAACAAUUCAAUUCUAAUUUUUUGUUCAAAAAAUUGAAUGACACAAUUUGUAUAUAUGAAGUGUAUAUGAUUCGACAACAAUGGUGUGCUUUAAUUUGCUAAUUUUUGUUGUUGUUGUUGUUGUAAUUUUACUGUAUAAAUAAGUUAUACGAUUUGUAUAUUGUUUAAUUGGUAAUAUUGUAUAUAUGUAAGUAAUUGUAUACAAUUAUUAUACCAUAAAUAAGUGUAAGUAGUUGUAUAAAAUUACUAUGACAAUUAUAUAUAUGAAUUGUAUAUGAUUCAAUAAAAAAGGUGUGCUUUAAUUUGAUAAUUUUUGGUGUAACCUAAUGUUGACACCCAUUUUUGGACCUCCACAAUAUAUAUUAAUUCUCGAGCUUCUUAGAUUUCAAAUGAUUUGGAGUUAUUAGUUUAUAAAAUUUAAAUAUUUUUUAAAAAGAUUUUUGAAGCGAUUUAGUCGGCUUUAUAAUAUUUUAGAUAAUAGAUGGAUUUUACAUAAUUACUUAUAUAAUCAACGUGUAUUAUUAGCAUUUGGAAAUCAUCUUGAAAUAUUUUGCAUUUUUUAAAAUUAACUAUGUUAUUAAUUUAGUUUAGUAUAAAUUAAAGUUAUGAUUCUGAGUUAUUUGAAUUAGUUAGUUUAUAAUUAAAUUGUUUAUUUUAUUUUUGUUAAGAUUAAGAAGCUUGUUAAUUAAUUAAUAACAAUUCAUCUUAUUUAGACUUUGGCCGAAUUCACCAAUUAAUCCCAAUUUGGCUAAGUUUUAACUCUGAAUGGUUAUAAUCGUAAUCCAUUUAGCCCUUCUUGAUAUUGCAAUUUUAACCAUUCUCUAACCUUACCUCUAGCUUAUUUAAAUAAUCACCAAGGGGCUUUUAUCCUUGAUUACAUUUUCAGCAACACCCAAGCCCAUUUUUCCAUCAGCGUACAAUUAUUUCCAGCCAAUAAACUCCAGCAGUCCAUACCCACCCUCCAAUUCCCAUUACAGCAUACAACAAUUCCCAGUGAUUCAAACAUACACGUAGAGCAGCACCAACCGACCCCAUCCCCUUUAUUUCGCUCAUCUCCUCGUCCGUUUCAAAGUAAUAUUCUGGUGUUUGGAAGCAUCUGUUCUGUGAUUGUUCGUUGUUAUUUUUCAUAGGAUUGAUGAUGUUUUUAACGUAUUAAAUGUACACUUAAUUGUUUCCAUCAGUUAGUCCUAAUAUGGGGUCAAGUUCCGGAGAGCCAUUAAAGUUUUAUUUUGUUGUAUUUCUUUUCUUGAGCCUGCUCCUCGAACAUCGUCGAAUCUAUGUUCUUUUCGCUUUAGCAUCUUGAAUAUUGAAAGUUCCAUUCACUUUAUUACUGCUAAUGUUCUCUGUUCUUCCUUUGAGAUGAGGAAAAAUCUUCCGUACAAAUUGUAUGUUGUUGUAGCUGCUGUUCGGUAGGCAUAAGUGGUUAUUUUCUUCUUGAUUAAAUUUCAUGGCCGUCCUAUUUUGCAUUGCGAAUGUGUAACUGUUUAUUUGGUUUUUAUUCCUCCUCAUUUUCAGCAUAUUUCCAUAAUUUUGGUUGAGUGUAUUGCUUAUUCUAACUUGAAGCUAAAUGUUUAUAAUAAUUUCGUUGGUUGUCUGCUUAAAUGUGGGCUGAAUAUCAAUACUAUUCUUUCUAAAUGUUAAGUUAUACUCGUUCUUUUUGGUUUUUUUUCUUCCGAGGAUUUGCUUUCGACUAUAGUUCUGUUUCUUUUGUGCGUGUGUUUGGAGGUCGGCAUUUGGUUUUAUGCCAGCCUAGUUUUACAUAUCUCUUUUCACUUUCAUGGAAACCUUUGAUGUUAUAGCUCUACUUGUCGGAUUAGGUUUAAAAAAAUGAAAUGCAUCUUUGUUCUUCUCAAAUUUGUUCCAUGUUUUCUUGGUUUUUUAAAAAAAAUGGUAUAGCUGAUUAAAAUAGCAUUAGUUUAGCUCGAGAUUUCCUUAAUACCGUGUUGCUAUUUAUUCUAUCUCGCAUCUUAUAACUCGAUAUUAUUUGUCUUGGGUUCUUUGUGGCUUUUAUUUCGAAAGUUUUGCCUUGCUAUCGUGUCAAUUUUCGUGCUUGUUGUUUGUAGCUGCUUGAGAAAAUAUGAAUGACCACUUUAUAAAAAAAAAAAAAAAAGGAGUUAGAAUCAACAAUGGGUUGCUGUUUGAAUAAUUGACCUUCAGCUUAUUUUGCUCAAAUGUUAAGUCACGUAUGUUCCCAAACACGGUUCGUAUACAAUGGUACACGUGAUGUGUAUACACAGAUUUCUUGAAGGAAAAUGGGGGGCAAAAGCCCAAGGAAAUUUCAGCAAGUCCAAGAUUUGGGCCUAAUUUGAUAUUCCUCUCCUUGCUCUUAUUUAUUUUGUUAUAUUUGACUAACGUUUUGAUUAUCUUAUGAUUUAAUCUAAUUAAAUUUUCCAAGAAUGGUCAUUUCAUUUUAUUUUUCGAAUUAAAGUAUAUAUAUUUUAUUACUUAGUUUUUAUUUUAAUAUUUGUCUUGUUGACAUUUUAUGAACUAUUUCCCUUUAGAAAAUUCUCCUUUAGUUCAUUCCCCCUUAAGAUAAAUAAAAUGAUAAAAAUAAUAGUAAUAAAUAAAUGAGUUCAUUUACUUAGCUAAAUUUUUUUUUAAAUAAGUUAAAAUAAAUGAGUUCUUUUACUUAGUUAAAAUUUCAAAAAUUAGUCAAAGUCGUUAUGAGCUCUUUUAUACUUAGUUAAAAUUUCAAAAGUUAGUCAAAGUCAUUUUUAGUCAAAUCGUCGGUCAACCGCAAGUUAGCGGACAUUUUGAGGGCCUAACACCUUCUCGGAAUGUACAUUGAACUCGAACCCUUUUUCAAUUGAUUUUAUCUGUUUGAGUAUUUUGAAAAUCUUAAGUUUUUUCUUGAGUUUUACUAAAAAAAUUAAGUGGCGACUCUAUUCUUUUGGAAAUCGAUUUCUCUUAAACUACAAGUUUAAUCGAUUUUUUCGAAAUCCUAGUCAUUUUUCUUUUAUAUAUAUUUUCGAGUAAAACACCUAACUGUAUAUAUAAUAAUGUAAGGUUUGUAUAUUGUUUAAUUCAUACUAUUGUAUAUAACUUACAAAAUAUACAAAUAUAUAUAUAUAAUACAAUUAUGAUUUAAGCAAAAAAUAUACAUAUACUUCAAGCAAUUUUGUAUAUAACUAACAAAAUAUACAAAUAUCUAAAUACAAUUGUGAUUUAAGCAGAAAAUAUACAUAUAUUUCAAACAAUUUUGUAUAUAACUAACAAAAUAUACAAAUAUCUACAUACAAUUGUGUUUUAAGCAAAUAUUUGAUGUUCUUGAUCUAAUGAAGGAGACACAACCUCCUCAGAAUCACUAUCUUUGGCUUUCCUCGUACUUCCUCCUUCAACAACUUUAAUGUCGCUUGCCUUAACAUUGUUGAUGACUUCUGGGAGUGCAAUUGGGUCAUUUUUUUUCUUGGAUCUCAAUUCUUCAAUAGAUUUUUCCUGUAGAAUUUGUUUAGAUUUUUCCAUAGACCCUGCAUUGACUCCAAAAUCUUGAGUUAAACCGAGUGAAAAUGAAGGUUGAUUAUUAAAAACUUUGACAUGCAAUGACGUACCUCUCGCAAUCCUCUUAGAUGGAGUCGAAUCAUCCAUUUUAUUUUUUGUAAAAAUGAUAUAUAAUAAGUAAUGAGGGAAUUUUGAGAAAAAAUUAUCCAAACACUAACAUGCACAAUACAUAUACAAUUGAAAAAUGAAAAAGAAAAAAAGAAAAGAGGUUCACCUACGAUUUAUGCGGUUACCUGCAAAAAGUAAAACACGAUUGGAGGGAGAAAGUGAAAUUCGAAUUUCAAAUUGAUUUUAGGAGAAAAACAGGAAAUGAGGAGAGGAGAGGAGAGGAGAGGAGAGGAGAGAUAAAUUUAAUUUUGUAUAAAAUCAUAUACAAAGACCGAUGAAGGCUUUGUUGAUUCGGUAUACAAAGUGGUGGUGGGUCUCAUUAUUAAUGGCGAAAAAACUGAAAUUGUAUUUACUAACAGUAAAUAAAUUAAAUUAUACCCUCAAUGACUAAUAGCCUAGUAAUAUUUGCCAACUCACUUAAUUUUUCCAUAAUGUGUGAGACUUUUUGAAAGAAAAAAAAAUUGUGCUAACUUGGUUAAAGUGAACAAUUAUCAUACUCUAUUUAGAAUAUCUUUGGGCUAAUUUAUCCGAACAAAAACAAAUAAGUCCCCAAUCUAAGACCAUUAGCCGUUACUUGAAGACAAGACAUUCAUCAUUUGAACUAUUGAAUUAUGGACACAAGUCAAAGAAUCUUCCAACUAUUCAAGAAGUGUAAUUAAUACUUAAUAAAUAUAAUGUCAUCCUCAAUAACUUCAAAUAAUAUCCAAUAAUCAAUAUUAAAUUUUGAUAUUAAUAGAAAUAGUUAAUGAACCCCAAGUUGUAUAAUUUGAUUGUUGGGAUAAAAGAUAAAAGUCAAUCAAAAAUUUAAUUUUUUUAAGAAAUAAUCUUUUAAUUGUGAUUCAAUAAUGUAAUAACACAAGCAAUUACAAUACAUAUAAAUUUGCCAUGUCAGCAUAUGGUGUUCAUGAGUGCGUGUAUGACAAUAGUAAAAGUAUCUAUUUGGUCUUUUAGAUAAAUUUCAGUAUCUAAAUUACAAUUUUUGUCAAAUUUGAGGGAUUAUCUAGAUAUUUAGAUAAAAUUAUUUAUAUAUAAUUAUCUCUAAAUAGGCUCAUAAGCCAGUAAAUGAUACUUUAUAAAUAACUUCAGUUGUAAGUGUUUCUCUUACAAAUUCAAAUUAAUCCAAUGACAAAACCUUUUUAUGAUUUGACUGAAGAGGUUUCUGUGUUGCUGGUAUAUCAAGAUGAGGAAUUGGUUUCUAGUAAAUCAAAUGGUUGAUUUACUAGAGUUCAAUGGAUACAAAGGUGAUAUAUCUAGAACUAAUUUCUAUAUGACUUUCAUUAUAUAGAGAGAGAAUUAAUUGAUACGAUGUUUAUUUAGAACUUUUCCUUUCCUUGUUAUCAUAACAUUAUUUCUAUGCUUGUGUAUGUUGUGUUACAAGUUAAUAAAUGAAUUUGUAUGAUUAUAAGGAAUUAAAUUAGAUUCUUCAUUUUUGUUUUUGUUGUAACCAUGUCACUGACUCGAUUAGCUUUCUCCAUAAGGAUUGUGUAAUUUUUCAAAGAGGUUCAAUAAUUUUAUGUUAAAGUAUGUGUUGUUCUAAUUUUAUCGGAUAUUUUUCCAUAAAGGAGAUAGUUUAAGUUUAUGUUAAUAUUAAUUAUUUCACACUUGACUUUUUUGUACAAAAAAUAAAAAGGAAACUUAUUCUUUGUCAAUCGGGCCUAGAGUGACAUCGUGUUGGAGGAGAAAAUAAUUAGGACCCUCAUAAAUAAUUUUGAAAUCAUAGAUCUUUGAUUUUUACAAAUCUAUAUAUUGUUUUAGAAAGAAAACACAUUCACUUGGAUGAUUGAGGCACAAAAUAAGAGUAAGAGAUUGAAGAGAAGAGCGAGAUAAAGACAUGAUAAGAGAUGAUUUGGCUAUCAUUAUUGUCUGAGAUGACUUUUUUUUGUCUUUUAUUCAAUGUAGACAAACAAAUAAAUAGGGACAUGUGAUUUUCAUGAUUUUUUUCUUCUAUUUUUUUUUUUUGUCUUUUAUUAGAUGUAGACAAGAAAAGAAAUUUUUUUCAUGUGACUUUUCCUCAUUUAUUUUUGUUUCAUUUUCAAUUACUUUGUUAGUAUUUAAUAUCGAUUGUUCCUUAUUCAAGCUAUGUUAAAUAUUUUUAACAUAAUUUUUUUGGUAACUCCUUUCUAAUAAUUUGUUAAAUCUUCUAAACUCUCGUUACUUAUUUAUGAAAUAAAAUUACCUUAAAACUUUUUACAUAAAUUUAUCUUAAAACUUUUUAUCCUAUUAUAUCUUGCUUUAAUAGUAUUUAAUCUAUAUAUAUAUUCAGUGUUUAUUUGUUUUCAACAAGUCAAAGAAUAAAUUAGAAUAUAUUCUUUAGAAUUAUAUUCCUAUAGAAUCUUCUCUAUUAUAUAUUCCUACAGUUAUUUACUGUAAAGUAAUAUUAUAUAUUAGUAAGAUUGCACACACCGUUUACGAUAUAAGUUGAUUAAUAUGUGUUAUUUCAUAAAUUAAAGUAUAGCAACAUAAUAUGAAAUUUCAUAAUUGAAUUUGAAUGAGAAAUUAAAUAAACAUAUCCAAAUGAUAAUUUUGUGUAUAAUAUUUUUUUCAUGUUCUUCACUAACUUUAAAGUGUAUGGAUAUAUACAGUUACGACAGCUACAACUCCUGCAGCAAUGUCAAUGCUCUCCAAAGAAAAGAAAAAAAUUGACAUGAUGAUAAUCGAUGUCAAUUCAUCAGAUUUACAUUGUUUUGAACUCUUGACACAAGCUGUAACCUUAAAUAUAAUCUCUCUUGGUAAGUAUUUAUAAUUCUAUUUUUCACUUCUUGUUAUAAAUAUUGGGUAAAAUCAGUUGUUUCAAUUAAUACACCACAAAAAUAUAAUUAGCUAUAAAAUUUAUCGUUAAUCUAUUGUCAAGAGACGACAUCUAUCCAUUGGUAAUCUUGUUUUUAGUUAUAGUUAUAUGAUAAAUGAUUGUUUCGUAACAAAGUUGUUGUCGUAACAGAUAAAAUUCAGUAAAUAUAUGUGUGAAAUUAACUAUUCUCAUAAUGUAUGAUAUAUUUUUAUUUUUAUUUUUAACUUCUCAAUAUAAUUAUGUAGUUGUAUGUGAUGAACUCAAUAGACUCUUAGCCAAGAACGCUUUGGAAAAUGGAGCUUAUUUUGCUUGAAAAAGCCAUUCAACAAGGAAAUUGUGAAAUACUUAUGGCAACUUGUAUUGAGAGAAAAAAUACAAAGGGAGAAAUCGAAAAAAGGUUUAGAAGCAAAUGGACGAAAUCAUAUGAAUGCUGAUGAAAUUUAUGAUAGUAAUAUUGUAAGAGAUGAACAAUUUGGAGAGAAGAAUAUGCAUGUUGAUACUGAGGAACAUAACAAUAAUAUCCAUAAGGCUGAAAAUGAUGGCGUAUCAACUGGUAAAUACAAGUUGAAGAGGAAGAGAGGGAGAAAAGGUAUAAAACAGAUUAAUGAAGGAGAAAGUCGUAGCAGUACUGUUAUUAAUAAGACUGGUACACGUAAAUGACUUGUAUCAUGCAUUUUAAACAUACAUAAAUGACAAUGAAUUUGAGAUAAUAAUUAUAUCCAUAGUCCAACUCUCCUUUGAGUUUUUCUUUCUUUCAGAAAUGUCGUGAAAACAAUUGGAGACCUCGAAAAGAGAGAAAGAAUAUUCAUCACGGAUCCUCAAGUGAUUCUCAACAAAGAAGUAGUUGUAACACAUCAUUAGAAAGAAAAAAAAGGAGCUGCAAAAAACUUGGAAAAAUGCCUCAUCUUCAAACAAAUAUACCAAAUCAAAUACAAAGAGUCUCAGAGUUCCCACCAGUUAAUACCAACAACAUUUUUGCUAUUUCAACUCAGCAGCAACUCCAUCACCCACAACUUCAGGCUCAACCUCACUGCCUAAACCCAUCUUUGUCAGCCCAAAAUGAUGUUGGUGGUCAACUACAACAACACAGUCUGUUAUUUGGAAUGCGGGUCCAAUUAUUGGAAGCACUCAAAAUGGUUAUGGCUUGGAUCUCAAUCCUACCCAUGUAACAACAUAUUCAGGUAGCACAAUGAUAACUAAUACAAAUGUUGGAAAUGUGACACUUAAUGGAUUGGGAGCUACAAAUGCUAAUUUUCAGCAAGAUAUUGGUGAACAAAACAUGUUUGAUCCAAGUUCUUGCUCUCGUAAUAUUUGUAUCUUAACUUAUCGAAUGCAUUUAUGUAUCUUCCUGUAUUGCAAAAGCUAUAAUUGGGAAAAUAUUUUCAUCUUUUGAUGAGAAAUUUCUUAACCUUUACUCAUUUCUUCGUUUCCUUAUUAUGUAUUGAAUGUUUAAGAUUGUAGUAUAUUAUUACAUACUUAAAUCUUGUUUAUGAAAUUUUUUAAUGAUUAAUGUUUGGAUUAUAAAUCUCUUGUUUUGCUUAUGUAUUGAAUGAUUUUUAUUUUUAAUGAAGUGAGUCAAAUUGUUUCUUUAAUUAUUCUUGUGUUUUAAUAUUUCUAAAAGGAGCGACUAAUCCUAGGACUUGCUCAGUUACUUUGAUUUGAGCUCGAGAGAGUGAAAAAAGAAUAAGAAGAGAGAUUGGAAAAGAUUAAUUAACAAAAAUUGUGGUACUAAUUUGGGUAUUAAUAAACAAAUCCUUACUUGAUCGCAUAUGUGUUGUUCUGUGUGAAAUUUGCCUCUGACUUAUAGUUGACUAAAUUAUAUUGCAUAUGUUCGUGUACAUUUUCUCACUUGGAAGAGUGGAUUUGGAUGUUAUUAACCAUCACCAUCGUUUAGGUAGAAAAAGAAAAUAACUAAUAGUUUAAUGUUUUAAUACAUAAAUGAUCAACUAAUAUGAGACGGAAAGAGUAGCGUAAAUGUAAGAUUCACUUCUCACCAAGAAUCCUCCUUUCUUAUUAUUUUCCUUUUAGAGGUUAAUAAUUAUUAUGUAUCCCUAGAAUAAUUUAUUGAAAUAGUAGAUUUGAAAGAAAGCAAUUAUUCUCUUCUUCCUAUGCGGGACUUUUAGAACAAAACUAAUUUGACAAAAACCACAAUUUAUUGAUUUUUAGGUGGAAUUAUAUCAAUAAGGAACUAUGCUUAUAAUAUUAAUCUAAGAUCAUUAGGGGUCGUUUGGUAGAGUGUAUGAGGUAAAAUAAUGCAUGCAUUAGGUGUGUGUAUUAGUAAUACCUUGUUUGGUACACUUUUUCAUGUCAUGUAUAACUAAUGCAAGCAUUAGUUAUACACUAUAUUGUGUAUUACUAAUACCAAGAAAUCCUAGAUAUUAGUAAUACAUAGCGUUUUAAUACUUGCAUUAGAUUAUACAAUUACAAAACUACCCUCAAAGCCUUUUAAAAAAACAUCUUCAUUUUCCAUGGUACUGUGUUUAGAAACCUUUCAUCUUCUAUGUGGCUGCUAACACUACAAGAAAAGUGUGAAUUACAUGAGGAUUUUCCUGGGGAUUAGUAUGAAAAUCCGUAGGAAACUUAUUUUUCUGCAAAUUUUCAUACUAAUCCCCAGGGAAAUCCCCAUGUAAUUCACAUUUUUCUUGUAGUGUAAACCUUUAAAAAAAAACAUCUCCGUUAUUUAUAAAUUUGAUUGUUGUAAUACUUUUUUGUAUUUCAAUUGCACUAAAAAAUAGGAUCUGUGGCUGCUAAAGCAUAUGCCCAGACUCCUAAUAUAUAUAAAGUGCAUAUACUGAUUUUAAUAGGGUACCGCUUUGCAGUUAGGAAUUAUCUCAGGUCUAUGCUGCCUGUAUCUCCCUUACAUUCCAUCAGUUUUUAUUUUUUAUUUUUGGACUCGUUUUAUCUCAAAAUAUAUAUAAAGCACUACUAAUGCAUGCAUUACUAACACACCCUAUUUUACAUUAUUCUUAUACACUCUGCCAAACGAUCCCUAUUGUUACUUGAACACAUGGAUUCAUCAUCUGAACAAUUGAAACAAUUAAUACUUGUGUGAACCUCUUGUUAUUUCGAGUGAUGUGUCAGAAUCUUUAGCCAACUAAGACUAGCGUUAAAUUUUUGGCAAGUCUCAAGAAGUGUAAUUAAUACUUAAUAAAAUAAUCUCAUCCUUGAGAUUCAAGAACUUGUUUGGUCUGAAUAGGUUUUAAUCAUUAAGAUCUAGAACAAAGUCUUAAUAUUAGUAAGAGGUAUUUUUGUGUGAAUAGUUUUCUUUGAGGUUCGAGAAAUGGAAUAGAUAUGGACUACAAGUUGAUAUUCGCCAUUAGGAAAUUCACACGAAAAGGAACGAGGAAUUCUCAAUGAAAAAAGCGCUCUCUAAAUCUGUUUAGUAUUUGCCAUGAGGUUCUUACCAUAAUUGAAUUUUCCUUUUAGGAAAAGGUAAACACAGUCUCCAUAUUUGUCUAGUUCUUUUUCUUGUACGAAAAAAAUUAUGACUCUAUAAAUAGAUGUUUAUUCAUUCUAGCUUGGUAGCAUUCAUAAUGUAGUCUUAGGGGGCUUUGAGAGUUUUGUGUAUUGUGUGAAGCUAGGGGAAGAAUGUGUGAGACACAAGUAUUACUUUAACACUUGUGUGAACCUCUUUGUAUUCCGAGUGAAUUGUGUGAGGUCAUUCUUCUCUAGAUUUUGAACUUUCUUUUAUAUAGUGAUUUUUUCAUCUCCUCUUGUGGAUGUAGACCGGUUGACCGAACCACGAUAAAUGUUUGUGUCUUUUUGUAUAUUUCUCGUUUGUCUUAUUACUCAUCGUCUUUCGAGGUUUGCUUUGCUAACUUUUGCAUGACACCUAAUUAUUUCAGUCCCAACAAGUGAUAUCAGAGUCAAGUUCAAUGGUUUAAUGAUCCAAUGGUUGAACCAGGUCAAAAAUAAGUGUUCAUCUUGACGGGUUUAGUUCUACCAUAACAUAUUUGAUAGUAAUGAAGAUUUUUGUUGGAGAAAUAUUUUCAAAGAUGUUUUUUGUGUUGAGAUAUAUAUAUAUAUAUAGAGAGAGAGAGAGAGAGAGAGAGAGAGAGAGAGAGAGAGAGAGGGAGAUAUUUUGCAGAGGAGAUGCAUAGUUAUUGAAGAUUAUGUGAAGAAGGUGGAACAAAUUUAUUUUGUCAGAAAUUUAGGCCAAUGGAGAUAUUUGUUUAGUAUUUGUCAUGAGUUUCUUACCAUAAUUGAGUUUUUUUCUUUUAGAAAAAGGAAAACACAAAGUUUCCAUAUUUGGCUAGUUCUUUUUCUUGUAGGAAAAUGUUUAUGACUCUAAAAUUAUAUGUGUAUUCCUUCUAGCCUAAUAGCAUUCACAAUGUAGUCCUAGGGGGCUUAGAGAGUUUUGUGUAUUGCGUGUAGCUAGGGGAGAAUGUGUGAGACACAAGUGUUACUUUAACACUUCCGUAAACCUCUUUGUUUUUACAUUGAAUUGUGUGGGGUUAUUCCUCUCUAUAUUUUGUACUUUCUUUUAUAUAGUGAAUUGCUCAUAUCCUCUUUUGGAUGUAGGUCGGUUGUUCAAACGACGUUAAAUAUUUGUGUCUUUUGGUAUAUUUUUUGUUUGUUUUAUUACUCACAGUCUUUCAAAGUUUGCUUUGCUAGCUUUUGCAUGAUACCUAAUUAUUUCAGUCCCAACAAAACCAAACGUGAAAGUUGUUUUCCAGCAGGCAACUUUUCUAGUAGCUCUACUCUCGACUUGGAUAAUAUAUCCAAAAAGGUACGCUUUCGGUCAUUCCACAUGCUGCCUAUGUAGAGACAUGUUUAUCUAAAGUGGAUUCUCUUUUUUGCAGUAGGUAUUGAACCUGUUAUGCCCAUUGACUAAGAAGCUAGGGGUGGACACAACAACUACAUGGACCUCUUCCUUUCAUUGGCCAUCACCAUUAGUCGUCUUUGUUAUCACAAUGACCACCACCAUUACCGUCAUCAAAUAUCUCUGUCAUCACAAUUACCAUUCUUAUCAACCACUACUAUAUAUCAAGCAUUUGCUAUAUUUAUGUUUUUUAUCGACAUAAACAAUGGGUUAACAUGAUAUAAUUUAUUAGUAGUUUUAUAUAUUUUUCCCAUAAUAAAGGAAACAAUCACUUAUACAUUCUUUGAGAUCAUUUAGUGUAAAAUCAGGAGUGGAAUCAUAACUAGGGUUAUAGCUUAGGAUCAAUUCACCUUCUUAAUUAAUGGGAUAAUUUACUUAGCUAAAUUUGAGUGAAAAGAAGAAGAAAUUAAUUAAUUUAAUUCGUUUACGUUCCAAUGGGGUGUGCAAUACCCAUAAAUUUGUCAUGUCGUUAUUAGGUGUUCAUGAGAUGCAUAUAUUUCAAGCAAAAGUGUCUAUCUGAUUACUAGACAAGUUUAGCCGUCCAAUUUACAAAUUCUGCCAAAUUUGAGGGACUAUCUAGAUAUUAUUAAGAAAAUCUAUCUUAUUUAAUAUAAUAUUUAAAAUAGAUAACUUUGUAAUUAGUGUUCGCUAGAUCUUCAUAUUUUCUCCAACCAUUAUAAAUUCUCAGUGCUCUCUCUAUAUAAAUUCAUCAGGAUAAAAAUAAACAAGACAAGAUAUCAUACAUAAAAAAUAUCCAAAAGAGUUUUCUUUAAAUAUGUGUAAUCUUUUUUAAAUAGCAUAUCCCUUAAGAAGCUAUGUAGUUUUAUCACAAUGUCCUUCUUUAAUUGUUUUUCUUUAAUUAAUAAAAAGGUGUGUUAUAUAUAUCUUCAAUUGAUGAUAAGCCCACUUAUAUACAAAUAAAGUAAUGCAAGUGAAACUCUGUAAAGAAUCCUAUGAAGGUUCUAGCAGAGAAAUUAUAUUUAAAAAGGAGGGUAAUAGCUAAUGUGAAACAAUUAGGGUUGUAAAAUAAAAAAUAAAUCAAAAUAAUAAUAAUUAGGGUUGCAAAGCAACACCCUCUAUUAUUGAAGUUGAAGUUGUAAUUCGUAGGAUUAUUAUAUAAUUGUAAUAAUGCCUAGCUUUUUGUAACAAGAAGAGAAGUGUAUCAUCAUUUGGAGAGUUGUUAGAACAAUUAUAGUUAACAUUUGAGUUAAAGUACUAAAAUUAAUCUCUUAAAUUAUAAAGGUGUAAUUUGAAAUCAUUCGUUGAAGUUAGUAUAGAUUGAUUGAUAAGGAGUUGUUUAUAGUCUUUUGAGCAAAGAUAUUUUCAUUGUAAGCCCUUUCUUACUUAAUUAGCACUCCUUCGUUACUUUUUACUUAGUAGGACAUACGAAUUGAGGUUAGCUUAUCGCAAUCUAGUAUAUACAUUCAAUUAUUAGAAAAUAAAAUAAUAAUAAUAAAAUUAUUAUUAAAUUUAAGUUUUACUGUCUGGAUUUAUCAUGACACAUAUAAUGUCCACUUGGGCAAAUUUAUUAUUUAAAACACAAUAAUAAUAAUAUAUUCAAUGUAAUUUCAUAAUUGACAUUUGAGAAGAAAAAAUAUAUAUGCUAACCCUUGAUUAAAAAAUUAAAAUUAACCAACCAAAACUAAAAUAAAUAUUUAUAUAAGGUUGUGUAGUGAGAACAAUUAGAUAUACUGGUUUUAAUUCAACUAUGCAUUAAAAAGAACAAUAAGUUGCUGUGGUGUAGUGGUUAUCACGUUAGUCUUACACACUAAAGGUCCCCAGUUCGAUCCUGGGCAGCAACAUAUAUGUAAAAAGUUUUACUUUUUUUUUGAUAUGUCGACGAAAACGUGUUUAUCCUUUUAUUUGUCGGCGGCAUGUCGACGAAAACGUGUUUCUCCUCUUUAUUGUUUUCACCAUGACCUCUUCACUACUAUAUUUACAUUACAUGCUUGUUCUAUCGGAAACAACUCUACCUUCACAAGGUAGGGUAAGACUGCAUAAACGUCACCCUCCCCAUAGUACGUAAAAAGAAUAUGAGACAGCUGCAGGAUCAUGGAAAGAUCAAAUUUUCUCUUUAUUUCAUUAUUGCAAUUACUCCAUGUCAAAAUCCAAAUACAUUCUAUAGGCAUUUCUAUCUGAAGAGUAAUAGCCCUCCACAAGAGUAUCCACUUGGAAACCGAGUUUCUUGUAUAGCUGCAUAGCUGCAGUCCUUGUAGGAUCUACAUGAAGCGAUAUCCGAUGAACGUUUCUUGUUCUGCAUUUCUGCACUGCUGCCUCCAGUAAUUUUUCUCCAUGGCCUUGUCCCCUGUAGUUCUCUUUCACUGAUGUAUUCCACAGGAACGAUGCAUCAGUAAACAAAACGAAAAAUUUUAAAUGACAAAAGAUAAGGAAUAUUGUAAAUGAAUCUCUUAACCCCUCGUUUUUCAACUUGUGUUGAUUCGCUCAGGCCAGAGAACAACAAGAGAGAGACAGGCAUAAACAUCACGAUGAAAAACUCAUAACCACAUAGAGAACGAAAGCAAUUCUUUUGAAAAAUAAACAUCACAUGAAAGAUGGUUCUCUCUUCUAUGUAAUGACGGACAAUGCUUCACUGACUUAUCGGGAAUAUUUACUAAUAAUAUCAAUUCACCUUCUGCCUUUCCCUAUUGCGAUUCAAUAUGAUGACGAUCAGAGAAAGAUAUAACUAAACUCUCCUGCAAAAUUCCUUUAAAACAACUGCUAGCUAUUUCAAGGUUCGUUGUUUCCGCAAUAGUAACAUAUCAGCUUUGCUCGGAGGGGAAAACUACAUAACACCACUCUAAUUUAGAAAUGCUGCACUUUCAUCCAAUCCAGCUACAGAGAAAAACGUUGAAAGAGCAGAAGCAAUUUCUCCUACCUCUCUAUUCAUAGAGAUCAAAACUUGUUCGGCAAAUGCAUUCAUGCAUAUUCUUCUUUAAAAGACAACUUUUUGUAGAUGAACUGCUCCCAAAUAAGUAUUUUUAUCUUUUGAAUGCUCAAGUUAUAGUCACAUUCACACUCUUGACUGCUCUUUUUCCUACGAAAACAUUAUCAAAGAGUCACAUUUGAGUUCCUCACGAUUAUAACCUCGUAUAUUAAAUCAAAUUGGUCCUAGUCACAUUCGGAAAUAGUCUCUCUACUUUCACAACUAGGGAUAAGACCGCGUACAGACUAACCUCUCCAAACCCCACUUGUCUACGCGGUCCUAGUCACACUCACAUUGGGAAAUUGUCUCUCUACUUUCACAGGUAGGGAUAAGACUGCGUACACACUACCCUCUCCAGACCCCACUUGUCUACACAGUCCUAGUCACACUCACAUUGGGAAAUAGUCUCUCUACUUUCACAGGUAGGGAUAAGACUGCGUACACACUACCCUCUCCAGACCUUACUUGUCUACGCAGUCCUAAUCACACUCACAUUGGGAAAUAGUCUCUCUACUUUCACAGGUAGGGAUGGAUAAGACUGCCUACACACUAUCCUCUCUCCAAACCCGACUUAUCUACACAGAGUAUGUUGUUGUUCCAAUAAACAAUAUUAGAUAUCAGCUUAGACUUCAAUCCAAGAAUACAACUACAAUAAUCAGAAUAAAUUCAAGAAUAAGACCAAUUAUUAAAAGGAAAAUCAAAGCAAAACAGAAAAUUAUGAAAAGGGUAUUUUUUGUUCAGACCUGCUAAUUUAGUGAUACAAGCAGAGAGUGAAGAAGGCCAAGAAUACAUAACAUAACCAGCAAUAUCUUCACCUAAUUGAGUGUAGAGUAACCCAGAAUUCUUCUUUUUCAGUUCCUCAUCAAAAGAUCGAGCUAAAGAUUCAUGUUUGGGGAAAAUCUUCUUCUCUAUUCUCACUAUAUCGUCAACUACCUUAACCCAAUUUGCUGAAUUUCUCUGCAAUUCAACUAUCUCUGCCAUUUCUUCGUUUUCAUAUUUCUCUGUUUUUGCUGCUGUAUUUAGGUUAACAAGAAUCUACUGGGGUCAUUAUUGGAAAGAAAAAUAGUUCCUCUGUUAUUUUAAAAGUUUUUACUUUAUUUUUUUUAACUAUAAAGUUCUUAUAUAUUUUUAACGUUUUAAUUAUUAGAAACUAUUAUGUACAUUGUUUUUAUUUUACAUGGUUUAUUAAUAUAUAUAGUAUAAAUUUGCAUUCAUGUAUUAAUUAACUUAUCAAUUAAUCAAUAGUAAAAAUUCUCUCUGAUUUUCUGAUUAUUUAUGGCCAGUUUUUUUUUGUAUGUGUGCGUCUCUAAGCUCGUAAGUGAAAGUAAAUCAAUUUUUUAAUUGUUAAUUUAUGCCCAACUUCUUUAUGUAUGUGUGCGUUUCUAAGCUCGUAAGUGAAAGUAAAUCGAGUCUCACGAUAUCAUCUGUCUUUGUCAUACUCGUCUGGUUGAACAAGGACUAAUACUAGUUGUUGAGCAAAAUUAAUUUAUAAAUACUCUUAACAAGGUGUGAUAUUAUUUGUUUUGGGUAAAGUCUUUGUAAGGCUUCACACUAUUAAGAGAUUCUACACUUUAUAUGUAAUUUUUCAAUCUUUUCAGCUAUCAAUGUGGGAUUUUAUUUACCCAACUAACAAUUUUGUUAUUUGUUCUUACAUUUUGGUGUUAGCUUUGGCCUUUGUGUACUCCAUCAUAGGUUGAGGAAAGGGAUCAUAUAUAAUUGGAAAAAUACAAAUCAGAAUGGUAUUUUUGUUAGUAAUCCAAGGGAUUGGUUUACUUUUGGACAUGUUAUUUUUUUGGUUCUACUUAAGGUUAGUAAGGUCAUUUCAAUAUUAUUUUCUUCCUACUUCAAUCAACAGCAACUUCUAUUUUUCCUUAUAUGACAACGCAAUUCAAUCUAGCUACGUUGUUAUGUUAACCAACCCCAAAAACAGGACACCAUAUCUAGAUUGAUAAGCUUAAGUAAGUUUCGAUAUGACUCAUUUAUACUUCAAUUAAUCUAAAGUAAAACUUAUCCAUAUGUAUGAUCCAGCCAAAUUAUUUUAUCAAUAUAAUCGAAAUAUUAAAAACAUAUUUAGUAAUUAUGGAUAUCAUAGGUAUAGAUAUGUAUAUAUAUUAUACUAAAAUAUACAAAACCUAUACAAUUAUGACUAUUUGUAAAUUAGAUUAAUCAAAGACAUUGAACUGUAAUUAUUCCAAUCUAUACUUUAAACCCUUUUCACUUCAAAGCACUAUCCCAAUUCUAAACAGUUUGAGACAUGGUAAAAAAAAAUAAUUGAUUUUUUUUUUUUUAAGAUGGGGUGUAGUUAGGUGGAAUUUUCUUGGUUUUGUUCAAAUAAGUCUGCCUUUUGAAGCAUAGGCAUACUUGUUUCAUCUUUAUAUAUAUAUAUAUAAUAAUGAUGUUCUGGAUAACUUUUACACCUUAACUUGAUUAAUUAUGUGAGAUAUCUGUCAUUUUUCAUAGCAAUAUUAUAUUUAACUAUAUUCGCCCAAACUAAAACAGGUAGAAAUAACAUUUGAAUCUGUCAAACUGCAAUAAUGAAUUAUAUAUGGUGGAAGAUUCUUUGGGGCCCAACUGGCCCCACAGCUAAUAUUUUAACGGACGUCCAUGAAAAGUUUUAACAAAAUCACGUCGAAAUUCUAGAUCACCAAAAAUUCAUGGACUAUAUAGCACACGAUAAUCAGCAAAAUGGGGGGGGGGGUUACUUGCUCAAGGGCUCGUCUGACCUUGAAAAUGGGCUGGUUUGCCCGUGGGGACCAAUUGGCUCUAUAACUAAGGUCUUAACGGACGUCCAUGAAAAGUUAUUGCAAAAAAUCACGUUGGAGUUCCAUAUCACCAAAAAUCCAUGGACUAUAGCACAUGAAAAUUGGCAAAAUAAAGGGUUUACCUACUCUGGGCUCGUUUGACCUUGAAAAUGGGUUGGUUUGCCCGUGGGAACCAGCCGGCUCCAUAGCUAAGGUUUUAACGGAAAACCAUGAAAUUUUUUGGCAAAAGUCACGUCGGAAUUGCGGAUCACCAAAAAUCCAUGGACUAUAGUACACGAAAAUCGGCAAAAUGGGGGGGUUUACCUACUCUGGGGAUUGUUUGACCUUGAAAAUUUCCCGAUUUGCCCGUGUGGACCAACUGGCACCACAGCUAAGGUUUUAAUGGACGACCAUGAAAUUUUUUGGCAAAAGUCACGUCGGAAUUGCGGAUCACCAAAAGUUCAUGGACUAUAGUACACGAAAAUUGACAAAAUAGGGGGUUUACCUACUCUGGGGAUCGUUUGACCUUGAAAAUUGUCCGGUUUGCCCGUGUGGACCAACUGGCUCUAUAGCUAAGGUCUUAACGGACGUAUACAGAAAAUUUUGGCAAAAAUCACGUCAAAAUUUCGGAUCACCAAAAAUGCAUGGUCUAUAACACACGAAAAUCGGUAAAAUGAGGGUUUACCUGCUCUGGGGAUCAUUUGACCUUGAAAAUGGGUCGGUUUACUCGUGGGGACCAACUGGCUCUAUGCUAAGGUCUUAACGGACGUCUAUGAAAUUUUUUAGCAAAAAUCACGUCGAAAUUUCGGAUCACCAAAAUCCUAUGGACUAUAGCACACAAAAAUCGGCAAAAUAGGGGGUUUACCUGCUCUAGGCUCGUUUGACCUUGAAAAUGGGCCGAUUUUCCCGUGGGGACCAACUGGCUCCAUAGCUAAGGACUUCACGGACGUCCUUGACAAAUUUUGGCAAAAAUCACGUCGGAAUUCCGUAUCACCAAAAAUUUACGGACCAUAGCACACGAAAAUAGGCAAAAUGGGGGGUUUACCUGCUCUGGGCUCAUUUGACCUUGAAAAUGGGCCGGUUUGCUCGUGGGGACCAACUGGCUGCAUAGCUAAGGUCUUAACGGAUGUCCAUGAAAAUUUUUGGUAAAAAUCACGUAGGAAUUCCGGAUCACAAAAAAUCCAUGGAUUAUAGCACAUGAAAAUCGGCAAAAUGGGGGGUUUUACCUGCUCUGGGGUUCAUUUAACCUUGAAAAUGGGCCAAUUUUCCCGUGGGGACCAACUGGCUCUAUAGGUAAGGCUUAAUGGACGUCCAUGAAUUUUUUUUGUAAAAAUCAUGUCAAAAUUCUGUAUCUCCAAAAAUCCAUGGACUAUAGCACACAAAAAUCAGCAAAAUGGGCGGUUUACCUGCUCUGGGAAUCGUUUGAACUUGAAAAUGGGCCGGUUUACCCAUGGGGAUCAACUGUCUUCAUAGCUAAGGUCUUAACGGACGUCUUUAAAAAUUUUGGCAAAAUUACGUCGAAAUUCCAGAUCAUCAAAAAUCCAUGGAUUAUAGCACAAGAAAAUGGGUAAAAUGGGUUGGUUUGCCCGUGGGGACCAACUGGCUCCAUAGCUAAGGUCUUAACGGACGUCCAUGAAAUUUUUUAGAAAAAAUCAUGUCGAAAUUCUGGAUCACCAAAAAUUGAUGGACUAGCACACAAAAAUUGGCAAAAUGGGGGGUUUACCUACUCUGGGGAUCGUUUGACCUUGUAACUGGGCCAAUUUUCCUGUGGGACCAACUGGCUCCAUAACUAAGGUCUUAACGGACGUCCAUGGAAAUUUUUGGAAAAAAUCACAUCAGAAUUCCGGAUCACCAAAAAUUCAUGGAUUAUAGCUCACGAAAAUUGGCAAAAUGGGGGGUUUACCUGCUCUUGGGCUCAUUUGACGUUGAAAAUGAGCCGGUUUGCUCGUGGGGACCAACUGGCUCCAUAGCUAAGGUCUUAACGGACGUCCAUAAAUUUUUUUGGCAAAAAUCACGUCGGAAUUCCGGAUCACAUUCAUGACUAUUUGUAAAUUAGAUUGAUCAAAGACAUUGAACUGUAAUUAUUCCAAUCUAUUCUUUAAACCUUUUUCACUUCAAAGUACUAUCCCAAUUCUAAACAGGUUGAGACCUAGUAAAAAAAAUGAUUUUUUUUAAAGAUGGGGUGUAGUUAGGUGGAAUUUUCUUGGUUUUGUUCAAAUAAGUCUGCCUUUUGAAGCAUCGGCUAUUCUUGUUUCAUCUUUAUUUUAUUUUUCAUAAUAAUGGUGUUCUGGAUAACUUUCACACCUUGACUUGAUUAAUUAUGUGAGAUAUUUAUCUGAUCAUUUUUCAUCAGCAAUAUUUAACUAUAUUCGCCUAAACUAAAACAGGUAGAAAUAACAUUUGAAUCUGUCAAACUUCAAUAAUGAAUUAUAUAUGGUAGAAGAUUCUUUGGGGCCAUUAUGCAAUGAUAGUGGAACAUGAGAAUAUUUUUAUGAUUGGUAAAAAUAUCAUGGGAAUGGCGAAAAACUAGCUUUGAUAAGAAGAAUAUGAUGCUUUAUAACAUUAUCAAGGGAACAAAAGUCAUUUUUAUAUAUUUGAAGAAAAGAAAGUUUUCACAUUACAAUAAUUGGGAUGCCUAUAAAUGUGUGGUUCAAAAUGAUAGUGACAAGCCACAUAUUAUAUUGAAGCAUUAAUUAAUCAUAGUAAAGAAAGUUCAAUGUUAUUAUUAGGGGCAAUUUGUGCAAAGUAGAUAUGACCUAAGUUGCUUGAACGCAAAGGUAAUGUUAUAAUGUUUGUGAAAAAUUGAUAGAUCAUUAAAUCAUUAAACCUAUUACCUAUAUAAGAUUUAGUGCUAAUUACAAUCAUUUCUAUGUAGUGUAAGUGAUGUUGGAUUAGGUGGAUAUCAACUUAUCAAAGUGGACACCAAAUUUUUUAAAUUGCUUUCUCUAGUGUUACACUAACUUUAAUAAGUGGAAAUCCUUAGACAAUUGUUGAAGAUAUCUAUCAUAUUUGAUCAAAUAAAACAUAAGUUAUCAAUCAUAGAAUCAGAUAUAUACCUUUAAAUUCACGGGAGCGUUUGACUAUGUUUCAUUGUGAAAUUUGAUUUUUCUUUUCAAGUAAAAAAAGAUAAAUUGAAAUUAGAUAUUGUUAUCAACUUGUAUACCACUAGUUCGAAAGGCAUAAUUUCUUAAACUGACAUUCAAACUUAGCCUCCACUUACAAGUAAUUACUUCAACUUUUUCAUUAUGUAUGCAUAUUUAGACACCUUAUAAACUCGACUCAUUUCCACUAUACCAGCUAAACUCUCCAACAUAUGUACAAAAUAAUCAUCUAGUCACCUUCAAAAUUUAUUCAUUACAUCAGCAUCGAAUGUAAUGAGAUACAGAGACGAGUUGAGUAUUUAGUAGACCGUUGAAACCAAGUUGAGGUGUCCAUACCUAUACAACAAUUAUCACAGGUGACAUGCUUUCAAAUAAUUUUGAAGUAUUAAAAAUAGAUGAUUUAUUAAAAUAAGAUAUUUCUCACCAUAAGCAAUUUUCAAUUCUUUCGCAUCAAACGCACCCAUAUUUAGAAUGUUCUAUACUAUCACUCUCCAUAGACGGCAGCCAUCAUGUCAAUCACCACCCACCAGCACUUGCUGUUGUUAACCUUGCCAAAUAGAUAAUGACAAGUUGGCAUAUGAGAUAGGUGGUCUACGCCUAUCAACAUGAGUUGUGGUGCAAUGGUGGAAUUGCUCAAUCCUUAAUUAGAAAUUUCAGGUUUGAGUCUUGGGUAUGAAGAAAAUUCUAUUGGAAGCGUCACUCUCAAAUGAGUCCUGUGCUGUACAAUUCAGAUUUAAUUAAGGCUUUAAUGCAGACUCCGAACAGUGAGCGUGAGAAAAAAAGAGAGGUGGCCUAUGCCUAUUUCUCUUUGAGAUGUUGAUGCCUUGAUUUUGAAUGUCUUGUUUUUCAAUCCUCGUGCUUAUAUCUUUGAAUAUUCAUUACUUUCUCUAGAUGUGAAAACUACUCUUUCCGUUUCAAUUUGAAUAUUCAGAUUAUAAAGAAUAUUUUUUUUAUAUUUUACGUAACUUUAAUCGAAUACCAUAUAAUUUAAAAGUUCGUUUUACUUUUUUAAAUCAAAAUCAAAUAAAUAAAUUAAAACGAAAGGAGUGAUGGCUGAGAUGUCCUGUAAAAUGGUAUUGGUCUCUUUAGUGGGAUUUUGUUAUUUUGAUUUUAAAUUGACACAAGAAGCUAAACAAGCUUUGUCUUCUUAAUGAUUGGAUUUGAUUCAUCUUUUCAAUUUCAAUUGAGUCUGUCUCAAAAUUCAUAAUGUUAACUAUAUAAAUCCAGGUGAUCAUAUAUUACAUUGAUCUAAGAUGUAUAUUCAUAUCAUAUAUCGCGUUACUAAAUAUAAUUACAUUGUAUGAACACGCGAAGAAGAUGAUCAGAACAAGAGAAGACAUGUUACUAAACAACAACAUAAGAAAAAACAAAUUCUGUUAAGUGAUUGAUCCGCGUGUGAUAGUUGUCUUCUUAACCUUGGACUAUUGCUUCCUGCUAGAUUAUAUGAACUUGAAUAUGUAUACAAAUUAGUAUUCAAUGAGUUCCCAAACAUUCGCGCAUAAAAAAUUUCCCCUGUUGUCGUUCCACCAGGACUUAGCAUAUGUUCUGUAUUUGUAUAAUUUCGAUGAUGAUCAUGAGAUUGUUGGUAUAAUGGAGGCAUAUUAUUAUUGGGUAUUACUCCGUGACUCCUACAUCUCGGAGUAGGAGGUCUUUGUGGUAUGACUAUACCAAGAUUCAGGGCCUUGCCUGCUGUUUUUGUAGCUUGACCGCGACCAUAGAGUGGAAUCAAUGUUUUUUGUGAGACUUCAGCUUUGCAAACAGGGCAUUUUGGCUGUUGAUUAUCGAUGUUCUCUGAUGAAAUGGUCUUAAUAUGUAUCCAUUUGUAGAUGCAAGGCCAACAAUAGAGGUGACCACAUAAUGUAACAACAGGAUCAUGUACAACAUCCAGGCAAAUGUUGCACUCGAAACCUCCAGGUGAAUUUUCUUCAAGUUUAUCAAGAUCAAUUGUCUUACAUUUUUCAAAGGAAAUAUCGCGUUGAUCAAAAAUAGUUUCUGGUAUUUGGUCUUGAAAAAUUUGUUCUAAGGCCAUAUUUGCUUCUUGGUAUUGAUUUAUUUUGGUAAUGGCAAGAUGAAUGGUUAGAAUUCAGGUUUUUAAUACAAUUAGAAGUGAGUAUUUAUAAGGACAAGAAUAGUAGUUUGCAAACAAUGAUUCUUAAGGUUGUCACUUGUCAACAUCACAUCAUGUUAAAGGGGCAUGGCCAAAAAGAAAAGGCCCUACACAUUAUUAAACAACACUAUAUCAUAUUACUCAACUCAGUUUUGAUUUAUGGGUACUGUUUGAUUUGAUAUAACAUUUAAUAAGAAAAUGAAAACUUUUAAAAUAUGUACUGUAUUAAAGAUAAAAAAUAAAUUUUAAAUUUUUAGAUCCUAGAAAUGAUAUUCUUUUUAUAUUAAGACUACAACAAAUGUCUUACAUAAAUUAAGACAGGUGAACUAUCAAACACAUCAUAAUUAAGUGAUUUAAUGAAGUCAAAAAUAAAUAUUAAUGGAUCAUGGUUAAGUGAGAGGAGUUUUGUGCAAACACGUCUUUUAUCUAUCUAUUUGAUUUAAACAAGCAUAAGUUUUAUCAUAUUAGAAAUAUGAUUAGGACCUUAUAUUAGGCCCCAUGAUAAGAAUCUUAAUCUAGAAAAUAACUUUUAGUCAAUAAAAAGUAGCACUAGUUGCGUACAAGGAGCUACCACUUGAUGACCUUCCACACAGCCACAUCCCAUAAGUUCAAUAGUUUUCACACUAUAAGAACUAGAUGUUUUUUUCCGAGUGAAUCAAUAAAAAUUUUAUGUUAUAAAACAUGAUUUUUUUCAUUUUGAUUUUAUUAAACUAAUUCACUAAGAAAACCCAUAACGAAACAUAAGUUCUCAUUGAAAUACUGGAAAUAGUCACUUGGAAAUUUAUGAGUUUUAGGAAAUUAUGCAUCAAAACUUAGAAAGACGCGGCUCAUAUAGAAAUUUGUUGUUAAAUCAUAAUAUAUACUUUUACAUCUGAAUAUCUUUAUUGAUUUGGUUAAAAUUAUAAUUAAAAAAAUUACAAUACAAUAUAUAUAGAUUCACAUAAAUUUAAUACUGUAAGUUCAAUUAUUAUUAUGAUAUAUUAAUCUAAAAUUAUUAUAGAAGCUUCUAAACUCUAAAUUCAGAUCCAACUAAGGAGUGAAUAUACAUAGUGGGGGUCUGGGGGAUGGGAGAAAACAUAUGGACGGUGUGACAAAUAAAUAAAAGAAAUACUCCGUCCAUUCCAUUUGACUUAGUAUUGUUUGACUUAAUACGAUGUAUAAGAGAAAAAAAAGAUUUUAGAAAAUUAUAGGCUAAAACAAUUUUUAUAUAUUUAUAUAAUUGUAAAUCAUUUCAUUAAUUAAGGGUAGAUGGAGAAUUUUAAGUUUAAUUAUUUUCAAUUACAAUAAAAUGACAUUUUUAAAGACGGAUUAUGAGAAUAGAGUGCCACGUAAUAUAAAACGAGAAAAUACUACUCCCUCCUUCCCAUUUUAUAUGUUACCUUUUUACUUUACAUUUACAUUAAGAAAUAAUGUAACUUUACCCUUCUACCCUUAUUUAAUGUUUUCUUAAGUUAACUUUAUAACUCCCUCCGUCCCAUUUUAUAUGUCAUCUCUUUCUAUAAAUAGUUGGACCACAAUACUUGUCAUUUUAUAAAAUUUAUGUAUAAAUUACCAUAUUUUACCUAUUAUAUCCUUGAUAGAGUAGUUAAUUAAUCUUGAAAAUAUAUUCAUCAUUUAUUAUAAAUUGACUUAAGAAAAUAUUAAAUAAGAAUAGAAAGAUAAAAUUACAUCAUUCUUCAACAAGUGGUAUCAGAGCCAGGUUAAUAAGAGCGAGGUAGUAACUCAAAAGAGAUCCUACAAGCUACCGUCGGAGGCUACAAAUCGCGAGGCACUAAUUAAUGAUGGAUUUUGCAAGCACUCUCAAUAGCGUUGAGANNNNNNNNNNNNNNNNNNNNNNNNNNNNNNNNNNNNNNNNNNNNNNNNNNNNNNNNNNNNNNNNNNNNNNNNNNNNNNNNNNNNNNNNNNNNNNNNNNNNNNNNNNNNNNNNNNNNNNNNNNNNNNNNNNNNNNNNNNNNNNNNNNNNNNNNNNNNNNNNNNNNNNNNNNNNNNNNNNNNNNNNNNNNNNNNNNNNNNNNNNNNNNNNNNNNNNNNNNNNNNNNNNNNNNNNNNNNNNNNNNNNNNNNNNNNNNNNNNNNNNNNNNNNNNNNNNNNNNNNNNNNNNNNNNNNNNNNNNNNNNNNNNNNNNNNNNNNNNNNNNNNNNNNNNNNNNNNNNNNNNNNNNNNNNNNNNNNNNNNNNNNNNNNNNNNNNNNNNNNNNNNNNNNNNNNNNNNNNNNNNNNNNNNNNNNNNNNNNNNNNNNNNNNNNNNNNNNNNNNNNNNNNNNNNNNNNNNNNNNNNNNNNNNNNNNNNNNNNNNNNNNNNNNNNNNNNNNNNNNNNNNNNNNNNNNNNNNNNNNNNNNNNNNNNNNNNNNNNNNNNNNNNNNNNNNNNNNNNNNNNNNNNNNNNNNNNNNNNNNNNNNNNNNNNNNNNNNNNNNNNNNNNNNNNNNNNNNNNNNNNNNNNNNNNNNNNNNNNNNNNNNNNNNNNNNNNNNNNNNNNNNNNNNNNNNNNNNNNNNNNNNNNNNNNNNNNNNNNNNNNNNNNNNNNNNNNNNNNNNNNNNNNNNNNNNNNNNNNNNNNNNNNNNNNNNNNNNNNNNNNNNNNNNNNNNNNNNNNNNNNNNNNNNNNNNNNNNNNNNNNNNNNNNNNNNNNNNNNNNNNNNNNNNNNNNNNNNNNNNNNNNNNNNNNNNNNNNNNNNNNNNNNNNNNNNNNNNNNNNNNNNNNNNNNNNNNNNNNNNNNNNNNNNNNNNNNNNNNNNNNNNNNNNNNNNNNNNNNNNNNNNNNNNNNNNNNNNNNNNNNNNNNNNNNNNNNNNNNNNNNNNNNNNNNNNNNNNNNNNNNNNNNNNNNNNNNNNNNNNNNNNNNNNNNNNNNNNNNNNNNNNNNNNNNNNNNNNNNNNNNNNNNNNNNNNNNNNNNNNNNNNNNNNNNNNNNNNNNNNNNNNNNNNNNNNNNNNNNNNNNNNNNNNNNNNNNNNNNNNNNNNNNNNNNNNNNNNNNNNNNNNNNNNNNNNNNNNNNNNNNNNNNNNNNNNNNNNNNNNNNNNNNNNNNNNNNNNNNNNNNNNNNNNNNNNNNNNNNNNNNNNNNNNNNNNNNNNNNNNNNNNNNNNNNNNNNNNNNNNNNNNNNNNNNNNNNNNNNNNNNNNNNNNNNNNNNNNNNNNNNNNNNNNNNNNNNNNNNNNNNNNNNNNNNNNNNNNNNNNNNNNNNNNNNNNNNNNNNNNNNNNNNNNNNNNNNNNNNNNNNNNNNNNNNNNNNNNNNNNNNNNNNNNNNNNNNNNNNNNNNNNNNNNNNNNNNNNNNNNNNNNNNNNNNNNNNNNNNNNNNNNNNNNNNNNNAAGCUUGAGAUAAGAGGAGACGUUAUAUGUGCUGGAUGUCAAUAUGGGAAAGCACAUCAACUUCCCUAUGGAGAAUCAAAGUAUCAAGCGNNNNNNNNNNNNNNNNNNNNNNNNNNNNNNNNNNNNNNNNNNNNNNNNNNNNNNNNNNNNNNNNNNNNNNNNGACCAGUGAAGCAGUCCUCCAUCAGCGGUUACCGUUACAUGGUAACAUUCAGUGAUGACUUCUCAAGGUACGUAUGGAUUUACUUCAUAAAAGAGAAAUUUGAAGUAUUUGAGAAGUUUAAAGAGUUUCAAUAUACUGUGGAGAAUGAUAUUGGAAGAAAAAUCAAAUGUCUCCGUACGGACAAUGGGGGAGAAUACACGUCACGAGAGUUCAAUGAAUAUCUUAAAGAGAAGUUGAUAAGACGACAACUAACUUGUCCAAAUACACCACAACAAAAUGGAGUGGCUGAAAGAAAAAAUAGACAUCUGGCGGAGAUAUGCAGAAGUAUGUUGCAUAGUAUGAAUGUACCAGCAAGGUUUUGGGCAGAAUGCAUGAAGACUGUUGUCCACAUCAUCAACAGGCUGCCGCAGGCAAGAUUGAGAUUUAUCUCACCAUUUGAGAAACUUAAAAAAAUAGAUUCCUACUGUAAGCCACUUUCGAGUUUUUGGUUGUGUGUGCUAUGUGUUCGUGCCAGAUCAUCUCCGCAACAAGUUUGAUAAGAAAGCUGUUCGUUGCAUCUUUGUUGGAUACGAUGAACAAAGAAAAGGAUGGAAGUGUUGUGACCCUACCACAAAUCGGACAUAUGUGUCAAGAAAUGUGGUAUUUGAUGAAGCAUCAUCUUGGUGGUCCAAAGAAGUCUCCCUGCCAGACUCAAUAGCUCUUGAGCAAAAGCUGCAAGAUAAGCUCAAUGAAGUAGAACAAGGGAACAAGAUAGACUCUAACCAGGAGGUAUCUCCACAAAAGGAAAAGAAAAGCUUACCACAAACUGGAGCUUGUGAAACACCAGAUGAGUUGCAAGAAGAAGUCCAAGAAGAGUCACAAUCGCAACUGAGGAGGUCUACACGACUGAAGCGUCCAAACAUCAAGUACAUAGAUGCAGCAUUAACCGAGGUGGUUAACAUCAAAGAGGCUGCUACCUUUGAAGAAGCUUCAAAGAGUAGGGAUCGGAAUAAUCCGACGAAGGUGGAGAUCCCCAAAGGGUAUGGACGUUAUGAUGCUUGCAAAGUUUCAGGAAUCGCUCACAAAAGACGCAAAGAAAAAAUUAAGUUGGUGUUGAGGGGGAGUGUUAAGAAUUCAUCACCAACUUAAUUCUUUACUUAAGAUAAAUCAAGAAAAAUCUAGAAUAUUCCGGAGGUGUAGAGAAUUGAAGGAAGAUCUCUAGAAUGAGUAUUCUAGAAAGAAUAGUCUAGAAAUGUUCUAGAAAGAAUAGUUCUAGAAAAAGAUAGUUAGGAAUAUUCUAGAAUAGAGUAGUAUGUAUCUCUCUAGAUUCUUCCAUCACCACCUAUAAAUAGAGGUGGUCCAUUUGAGUUGUAAGCAACCAAGCAAGAAACCAAGCAAGAAAUAAGAGAGCAAACAAGAGUGAGUGCUUAAGUCAAAUAGUGUUGCUGAAGCAAGCAACAAGUGUGAUCAAGAUUGUAAGACCGAAGCGGGUCCUUACUUUGAUAUAAUAAAAUUCAAGUUGUGAGAAAUCGAUUGUGCCCGUCGUCUCCAAAACAAUAAUAUUCAACACUCAUCCCCAAUUCUAGAGACUAAGUUUCUCAUCUUCAUUCUUAUCUCUAUCCUUACUUGUUAUUUCAAUAUUUCCAUUGUAAUUAGAUAGUUUGAUUAUUCCAAUUAGAAUAUUAAAGUUGUAAUAGUGUUCCAGUGCUCUUAUUAAUAGUGUGAGAAUUUUGGUUUGUUACAUCAGACGUUCUCUUUUCGAAUAAUUGAACGUCUCAUAUUAUUUGCUAAUGAAAAAUAUCAUGAGUAGGACCCAAAAAGAUAGUAGUACCAGAUAACAAACAAAAAAAUACUGUACAGUCUAAAAAUAAGUAUAGAAUAGCUUGAACUUUUGGGCCGUUGUAUAAAACACCCAGAAAGGGAGACAGGGGAGUCACUGGUCCACUUAAUUAUUACAUGUAGUAAAAUUAUUAGUUAUGUACUAGCAAUACUGGAAGUAUUAUUUCAUGGCAUAUAUUGGUGACUAAGAUAAGUGAUAAGCAUAAUAAAUAAUUUAGAAGUAGGUGGAUUCGAGUCAUCAACGAGCUCCCGGGGAGGAAUGAAAAAACUCUUAAUAAUAACUACAACAUGGAGUGGCCACUGCUAGCAUAGGUGAUAUCCUACGAAUAAUGAUGCCACUGCCUUCCGUCAUAUCCAAAUCCUCCGGUUUUAACACUUCUGGUAAUGCUAAAUUGAACUUGUGCACAAUCCUUGCUAAUGCUAGCUCAAUUACCACAAUAGCAAAACCAGUUCCUGGGCAGCCCCUUCUCCUAAAAUUGUCAACUUUUUAUAUUUUGGCUUACUUGGAAGCAAGUCUAUCCUCUCCUAUCCAAUCAAUUAGGGUGGCCAUUAAUCAGAUAUUAUUAGGCUAAAGAUAACAUAUUGCUCCCUCCGUUUUUAAUUAUUUAUCCAUUUUUUUAGUUAUUCCUAAUUACUUGUCUAUUUUGACAAAUCAAGAAAGAAUAAUUUUUUUUACCUAUUAUACCGUCAAUUUAUUACUUUGAAAAAAGUAGAACUUUUUGAAAAUCUUGAGUUUUUAAUUCAUCCACUUCAUAAUUAAUAUGGGUAAAAUGGUAAACUCACUAUUUCAAUAAUUGUUUUCUUAAUAAGUGUGCCAAUUUAAAAAUGGAUAAGUAAUUAGGGAUAGAGAAAGUAUAUCGAAAUAAUAUAAUCAGAUAUUAUGCUAAAGAUGAUUAACAAAACUUUGAACAAUUAUAAAUAAGAUAGCAAAAAAAUCGAUUAGAUAAUACUUAGCAAAUUAACACGGUUCAACGAUUAGUGAUGGAAUCUGAAUAUGAUUCGGGAUUUUCACUAUUAAUGAAAUUCAAAAGGCAUAAUACAUAAAUGUGCCCUUUAACUUGACUUCAUUUUAUGUUUAUGUCGUUCAAUUUUGGGUAUGCACAUAAACUUGUAUAAAGUUGAACAACUAGCCACAUGAGUUCUACACGACACAAUACAUUUAAGACACCACGUAGGAUAAAAAAUGACAUGUAGGAUACCAUAUAGGACAUGUGUGUCUGUUUCUUCAACUUUAUACAAAUUUAAAUGUCUACUUGUGCACACCCGAAGUUGAAGGGCAUAAAUGUGAUUUGAAGCCAAGUUAAAUGGUAUAUUUAUGUAUUAUGCCUAUUCAAAAUAUGAAUAAGUAAACAUACAAAUUAGCUGACUACAAUAAUACAAAGAUAAAAAAACAAUUUUAAUUAUAUGUAUAAAUAGUAUAAUUUUCCAUCAAAGGUGGUUCAUUUGAUUCCUCACUUCUUUCCCUCAUUUAAAACUAUGCAAUAUGAGACUUUCAUGUCACAUGGAAUCCUUCUCUUUUUUUUUUUUGGAAAUCUUAAUAGCUCAGUUAACUAACUGACUAUUUGAAUUCUCGAUUCCCCAUACUGUAAUCCUCUACCCCAAUUUUUUUCAUUACCUUCCUCACAUAUGUAUAAGACCGAAUCCAAAGAACUAAGAUGAGAGAAUUUUGGGAGAGCCGCCACUCCAACUACUGCCAUGUAUUAUCCAUACUAGAUCUGACCAUCUGUCCAUCCUACCCUCCUCUACGUUCUUGACAACCCAUUUUUGUCUUAGUCAAGUCUUUUAGUGGCACAUUUUGACCUUCUUUUCCAUUACUUAGAAAAAGUGAGCUAUUAUUCAGAUACAAAAUACUAUCAUUAUCGCCUAGAAAAUUAGACAUUCAACCCGUAAUCACAAUGAUCCAAUUACAAAAGCUCUGAACCCCCUAGGUCUAGACUGGCUCUGGCCCCUGGUUUUAUCACUUGACCUUCACAUGAGUAAACUCGUUGAUAUAGAGGAUUACAGUAUCGAUUUCUUUAAAAGAAAAAAACCUUAAUUUAUAAAAGUUCAAAAGAUUUUAAUUCAAUGUUUGUAAGUAAAAAAACAUAUUUCAUAAAACGGUUGCAAAUCACAUCGAAUAAGUUCCAUUGAUUGGUGUAUGGUUCUCAUAAGGGAAGUAACAGCAGCAUAAGCCAUAUAUCCAAAAAAUAGGACUAUCUCUCACUCUCAGUAUGAAAAUGGACAAAUUAAUUGCCACAAGUUAUGAAAAUGGCUAGUCCUCAGAACACCUUAACUACUUGCUGCAGAAUAAAAAAAAGACGCAAAAAAUGGAAAAUAAUAUGUUAGAUGUCCCAUAAUUAAGGAACAAGAGAACAUUAUAGUAAGAAUGAGCAUGCAGGUAUAAGAACUUACUCAUUAUUGCGGCAAGAAGCAACUUCUUUCUCAAAGUCAUCAUCAUCAUCAUCUUCAUCUGUUGUUACAGUAUCAAAUACCAAUUUCUCGAGCUGAUAUAAGUAGCGAAAAUCAUACAGGUCCUUGUGAUUGCGAAAGUCCUCUGGGACGCCAAAUACUUUCAACUUCUUUAAAUUGGGAAAUAGUCUAAAAAAAGACCCUGUACAAUACCAAGGAUUCAAUUGAUUGAGGCAUUGCAAACUUUUCAAAACCAAUCUGUUCUCUGUAGGCUCAUGACUCUGCAAGUAAUUCCAGCCCAUACACAGCUUCCUCAAUUGUGGCAUUGUCAAAAUUUCCGAUGGUAAUAUGAAAGGAUAAGCACAAUCACGAAACGGAAAGUUAAACUUAAAAGUUUGUAGAUAGCAUAGGCUUGAUAUCGAUAGAGGAAUGUCUAUUAUUGAUGAGGGAACAGCUUUUAACGAUCCUCGAUACUGCUUUAAGCAAGGAUAAAAACACAAAGAUAGGUAUCUCAAAUGAAUUAGAGAAAGUACUCCACUGGGAAAAAUUGGGUAUAUAUUCAAACCAAGAUCUAGUACUCUUACUAGCUUGAAAGACAAUUCCAGUGUGAAGCAUUUCAAUCCACCCAACAUGAUAAUAGAAUGAGCCUCACUGUUACGACACCAAGCCAAUUCUUCCUUCUUAUAGAUACUGAUCCGACUUCGACUCUUAAAGGAACACUGCAUGGAUUGUGCACAUGAAUUUUGAUCACUCUUUCCUCUGAUAACAUUCACAAAAUUCAUGUUUCGAGCUUCCCUCAAACAGAGUUCACGGAUCACAUCAUGCAUUCCACAUCUCUCUAUUUCCCCAUCAAAACUCAAAUUGUGGAUAGAAAUUAGACUUCUAUCUACAAGUUCGUUUAUACAUGUUUCUGCCACCUCUUCUAUGCUUUUUCCUUCUUCUUCAUUCAAAAACCCCUCUACGGCCCAUAACUCAACAAGUGCAUUUACAUAAAUCCGUUCAUCCUCUGCGAAAAUUGCAAAAUACAGAAAACACGGUUUUAGGUGAGAAGGCAAGUGAUGGUAACUCAAAGCCAACACUCUCAUGCAUUUUGCUUCAAGAUCUCUGCUUACCACCGAACUUACAUUCUCCGCAACAUUUUGCCACUCAUCCAAUGUUUUACUGAUUUUGGAGAGAAGUCCAGCAAUCAAAGUAAUUUCUAGAGGUAACCCUCCACAUUUUAAUGCAAUUUGUUUCCCAAUAUUUUCAAAUUCAGGAGAAUAAGAACCUUCUUUUUCAAAGAUCUUUUUGUGUAGUAAAUUCCAACUUUCGUCAAAAUUCAUGAGGCGCAUNNN